CGAUUCUUCUGCUUUUCUUUACUUUCCUCUCAUUUCUCUUCUUCCCCUUCCAUUCUCAAUCCGGUUCUCGUCUCCAGUCAAUCCUUCGUUGAUUUUCAGCAUACCCUGGGACCCUUAUUUCCAGGUACAUCUCUUCCUUUCUUUUUAGAGUUUUUAUUGCCAAUGUAUGCGCAAGGGCGUUUGCAGAUCUUAGUAUAUGUUUGAAUAUGAAACUUCUAGAUAUAUUUAAUUUCUGUUGAAUAUCGUAUAUAUAUGCUCCAAUAUGUGAACGAUCUUGACUUUUUGUUACACAUUUCUUGAUUAUUCUGAGAGAGCCUCCUUUUAUUAUAACCUUCGGCCAUUCCUAUUCCACUCCUACUUGGACCGCUUUCCUACAUGUGAUUGCUUCAGCUGCAAAUGCGAAAGUUACCCCAUGAUGGAUCUCUAAGCAGAAAGUAAGACAACCCAUUCUUCGUUUCUGACAACAAUCCCUGAGGCAGAUUGGUGGUGAUUCGCAUCAUACGCACCAUCAAAAUUAAUUUUUACGAAUUCAUUAGGUGGAUAACUCCAUCUUCUUAUCUCCUUCCCCUUUACUGGAUUUCUCAUUUCUAAACCAUUUAAUUCAGCCAUAUAGUUGUUGAUGAAAUCUGCUAUUUCCUGCCCUGUACUAUUUUUCUGCUCAUGUAUUCUUCGUUUCUGACAACAGAAGAGGCGGCUCUGGUAUGAAGUAAGCUGAUCAAAGAUCCAGGUAAUCCAUUGUAAAAAAAAUCCAUGUUAGGAUCUAGAAUAAAAUUUUGAAUUUUUAAUAGUGUCCAAACUUCUAUUGUGACAGGACAUUCGCGAAAAAUAUGGUCGAUUGUUUCAGCCAUUUCUCCACAUCGGGGGCAGCUUGUACUACUAACAAGUUUUCGGUGCUGCAUAUUAACCCUGUCGGCAAAUAGUUCCAUGAAAUUCUCCAUACUGUAACUUUGAUUUUAUUUGGAAGAUUUAGGAGUCAAAGUUUUUUGUAAAAAUUCCUGUAAUCAAUUUGUAAAGCGUAAGCUCUAGGAAUUUCAUCAAAAGUUUGUAAUAGUUUAUAGGCACUGCAGACCGAAAACUCGCCUGAAUACGCGCCUCUUCAGACAAGUAGAUCAUUGUGAGGUGUGUAUGCUAAAGGUAUCCGGAGGAUUUUUCCAGCAUCUUCCUUUGAAAAGGUAUUCUUUAUAAGUUCUCUUUUCCAUGUUCUCUCAUUACUGUUGAUCAACUCACUAGCCUUGACAUCACACAUACAAUUAACAACUGAAGAUAAUUUAACAUUAACAGCAUCUGGAAUCCAAGCAUUAGCAUUGAUAGAAAUAUUUGUACCUGUACCAACCCUCCAACAUAUUCUUUUUUUCCAAAAUACCCUUCACUGCCCAUAUGCUUUUCCAUAUAUAAGAACUGGUUUUCCCCAAUCGAGAAUUUAAAAAAUAUUCAUUUGUGAAAUAUUUUGUUUUAAAAACUCACAUAACCAAAGAAUCUUGAUUAGUAAUAAUCCUCCACCCUUGCUUAGCUAGUAAUGAAAUAUUGAAUUGAGCUAGAUUUCUAAAGUCCAUUCUCCCUCCUCUUUUGAUCGACAUAUAAAUUUCCAUUAACACUAGUGUAUCCCUUUCCUUCCCUAUCCUUUUUGCCACCAGAAUUUAGCGAAAAUAUUUUCUAACUCCUCACAUAAUAAUUUUGGUAGGAGGAAACAUAUCAUAGCAUAAGUUGGAAUUGCUUGAAGAACAGAUUUUAUAAAGACCUCAUUUUCCCCUUGUGAUAGUAACCUUGUACUCCAGCUUUCAAUUCUUGACUUAACUUUAUCUUUGAGAUUCUAAAAAGCUUUCUUCUUUUGUUUGCCUACAACAUUAGGGAGUCCUAGAUAUUUUUCCAAAUUUGUGGAGCAUCUCAUACCUAGUAAACUCGAGAUUUCUUCUGUCUCUUUCUGCUGUAUUUGAGCUAUAGAAAAUUGUCGAUUUGCUAAAAUUCACGCAUCGACCUGAUUGUUCAUAUUCUUUCAAAAUGUCUUUUAAAAUUCUUGCCCUUCUAUUUGUCGCUUCACCAAAUAGUAUACAGUCAUCUGUAAACAGCAAGUGCGAUAUUUCUGGUCAUUUUCUACUAACCCUCACUCACUUCAUCAAUCCCUCAGCUAUUGCUAAUCUUAUCAAAGAUGAGAUUCCCUUAUUGCAUAUUAAAAAAAAAGGGCUAAGCGGGUCACCCUGACGAAGCCCUCUAGUCGGCUUAAAAACAUUUCCUCUUCUCCCAUUGAUAUUCAUUGUAUAAGAGACUGUAGAGAUACAUUUCAUGAUUAAUGUCGCCCAUUCCAUUGUAAAUCCCAUUUGAAGCAUAACUUCCUUUAGAAAAGCCCACUUAACUUAUCAUAAGCCUUGUUCAUAUCUAGUUUUACUGCCAUAAGCCCUUUUUUCCCAGUUAGUUUUGACGUAGCAUAUGUAAUAGUUUAUAUGCUAUAAGCACAUUGUUAGUAAUUAAUCUUUCGGGAACGAAAGCACUUUGAGCUUUGUCAAUACAUUUUCCAAUGACUUCCUAAAGAUGAUUUGUAAAUGUUUUUGCCAUAAUUUUGUAUAAAAUUGUGCAUAAGCUGAUAGGUCUAAAAUUAACAAGACUUGUGGGAUUUGGUACUUUUGGGAUAAGUACAAUAUCUGUAAGGUUUAGAGAGUCAAAAUCCCUUCCAUCAUUCAGAAGUCCCAAGCAAAAAACUUUCAAGAGCUUUACCUACAAUGUGCCAAAAUCUUUGAAAAAAUAAAGCAGGAAAUCCAUCAUAACCUGGUGCUUUAGUGGGCCCUAUUCCUUUCAAAGCUGAAAAUACCUUUUCUGUCGUAAAUGGUAUUAGUAAAUCUGUAUAGAUAUCAGAUGAAAUAUUAGUAUUAAUGCCCUUUAGAAGGUGGGAUAAAUUCCCAAUUCCCUUUGACGAAAAUAAAUUCUAAAAGUAAUUUGAAGCGGCCUCAUUAAUCGCUGAUUCAUCAUAAAUUUCCUUCCCUUCAUCAGAUUCCAGCCUAGUAAUAGUGUUAAUUUGUCUACGAGCUAAGGCAUAUUUGUGAAAAAAGGCAAAAUUUUUAUCUUCUAAUUGAAGCCAAUUGGCUCGUGCCCUCUGUUCCCAAGACAUUUCGUCUUUAGCAAUCUCCAUAUUAAGUUGAAUUCUAGUAUCAAUCAGCUUUGCCAUUGUGUCAUCAUCCCUAUCGCUUGCCAGUAGAUCUUCAAGUUCCUUUGUGAACUUAGUCUUUAACCUAUCUCAACCCUGCUUUAUUGAGCUUGCCCACCUUAUAUCUGCAGCCUUCUAAACUUUUCAAUAAUAGAUCCAUUUGAUGACUCCCAUGAUUUUAUAAUCUCUCGUUCAAUAGAUGCCUUCAUGGUCCACCAUGCCUUUAAUUUGAAUCUUGGAAUCCCCUUAUAGUUCUUCUCAUUAUUAGUACUGAUAAGUAGGGGAUAAUGAUCUGAAAUCGAGUGUGUUAAAUGAUGAAUAAUUCCUUUUGGGAAAAGAUGCAUCCACUUUUCAUUCGCCACUCCCCUAUCCAGUUGCUCUUUAAUAUUUAUUUUCGGUAGAUUCCUCCCUUCCGUGUAAACCAAACCCCUGAAUACCCCAUGUCCAUUAAUUGACAUUCUUCUAAAACCUCACUUAAAGUUUUCAUUCUUUUCUCCUCCUUCGAUUAACGUCCACUUUUUUUUUAAAAGAAUACAUUAUUUCAUUAAAAUCACCUCAUACCAACCAUUGGUGGUUUUGAUCCUGACCCAACUUCCUUAACAAAUUCCACGAGACACUCUUAUUAUUAACAUAAAGUGAAUCGUAAAACCCUGUAAAGCUCCACUCUUCAUUGAAAUUGUCCUCUUUUAUCAUCACAUCAAUAUGGCUUUUUGAGAAAUUGUUUGGACAAACCGUAAUACCUGCUUUCUAUGCCAUACAAAUUUCAUCUCUAAAACCUUCAACUCCUACAUCAAUCCCAUUUUCAAAACCAUAUCUCCUCCUAAUUUUUUUCAUGCGCUUUUCGUCUAUUUUGGUCUCCAUAAGGAAGACUAUUUAGGGUUUAUGUUGCUUCAGCAAAUACUGAAGCCUUCUCACUGACCGUGAACUCCCCAAUCCACGAACGUUCUAGCAAAUGGUUUUCAUUGUGCCCGGUCGACUUGCCAUUUGGCAGUUGACGAUUUAUUUUGGUUGGUAAUACACCCUUGCUUGAGAAUUUUUACCAACAAAAUUAUGCCUCCUUCGAUAUGAAAGUCUUGGCCGUCGUACUUCAUUCUUUUUGCUUCCUCUUUACAGGAUUUUCCUUUGCCAUUGUCUUUAAUUUCUAUAUCCUCUGAUUUUCUUUUUCUCAAUAUACUCUCUCCGUUACAAAUAUCCACCUCUCUUACUACCUCAAUUCUCUUCCAACUCGAUUUCUUGGCUGGUUUCAAAAUUCCUGCGUAAUUAUUAUUUUCCCCAUUUGCUUUUUCUUCCACAACUAUCUCUUCCUCCUGUAUCAUCAUCCCUUUCUCUGUUUCUGUAAAUUGUAAACUAUCUUGGAUUUUUUGGGCCAUGUCACUUUUAUCCUUCUCUUGAAAAUUUAACUCAAGAAUCUUCUCUAUAUCACCUGUAUAUGAACAUUGAGGCUGCACCUUCUUUGAAAAGACAUUAAAAUUUAAACUCUCCCUUUCAAUAAAAUUUACUUCUGCUUUUAAUGCUAAAGAAUAAAGAAGAUCAUCUCUGAUUUUAUUUUUUUUACAGGUGUAAAAUUGAGGCAUUCGAUGAGCCCAUGCUCCACAUUCCAUAGUCAAACCAGAAUGUUGGUAAUUUUUCAUAUUUAAAAGGGAUUCAGGACUUACUUUGAUUUUCAGUUGAGACGAAAAUACCCCUGCGCAAGGGUUUUUGCACAUCUAACUGAACUCUAAGCUGACAGAAUUCACCAUUAAUUGUAGAUCUCAGAACGCCUCCAAAAGUAACCCCAAUAGCAUGCAUUAAAUCUUUUUUUAUCAAAUUCUGGUAAACAUGGUCCAAUUUUAAUCCAAAACGGGGAUGAAUUAAGCCUAAUAUGACUUAUUUCCAUCGGUUUAUUCAACUGAUCAAAGAGCAUUAAAUUUUUCUGAAACAACCAUGAUUGCCC
RNAcentral lists this long non-coding RNA (5069 nucleotides) under Gossypium barbadense (sea-island cotton). Its description in RNAcentral is "long non-coding RNA (GBAR_LNC009675)". The record is from RNAcentral. Lineage: Eukaryota; Viridiplantae; Streptophyta; Magnoliopsida; Malvales; Malvaceae.